Unclassified non-coding RNA from Macaca fascicularis (crab-eating macaque), 148 nucleotides. It matches the Rfam family "Metazoan signal recognition particle RNA". Rfam says of the family: The signal recognition particle (SRP) is a universally conserved ribonucleoprotein. It is involved in the co-translational targeting of proteins to membranes. The record is from Ensembl. Lineage: Eukaryota; Metazoa; Chordata; Mammalia; Primates; Cercopithecidae.
GCUGGGCGUGGUGGUGCACACUUGUAGUCCCAGCUACUGGGGAGACUGAGGCAGGAGGAUCACUUGAGCCGAGGAGUUCGAGGCUGUAGUAAGACAUGCUUGCACCACUGCACUCCAGCCUGGGCAACAGAGUGAGAUCCUGUCUCUU